RNAcentral lists this unclassified non-coding RNA (425 nucleotides) under soil metagenome. RNAcentral's name for it is "partial contains 5.8S ribosomal RNA, internal transcribed spacer 2, and large subunit ribosomal RNA". The stretch from base 1 to 120 matches the Rfam family "5.8S ribosomal RNA", at positions 35 to 154 of the family's 154-position model. The record is from RNAcentral.
GAUGAAGAACGUAGCGAAAUGCGAUAAGUAAUGUGAAUUGCAGAUUUCAGUGAAUCAUCGAAUCUUUGAACGCACCUUGCGCCUUGUGGUAUUCCACAAGGCAUGCCCGUUUGAGUAUCAUUAAAUCAUCAACUCUAAAACCUUUGUGGUUUUUUUUAGAGCUUGGUCUUGAGGGUUUUGCAGGCUUUUUUUUUUUUUUCGAGUCUGCUCCCUUUAAAUGCAUUAGCGAGACUUCCCUAUGCUGAACCGUCUCUUUGACGUGAUAAUUAUCUGCGUCGAAUUUUGGUUCUCGUUGGGCUUGCUUCUAAUCGUCUGUUAAAGACAAAACGGAUUUGGGUGCAUAUAUGCGCCUUUUUCCAAAACCUUUUUUUGAUCUCAAAUCGGGUAGGACUACCCGCUGAACUUAAGCAUAUCAUAGCGGAGGA